Molecule: ribosomal RNA, 424 nt
Filed under: Verrucomicrobiota bacterium
Lineage: Bacteria; Pseudomonadati; Verrucomicrobiota
Description: Verrucomicrobia bacterium partial 16S ribosomal RNA
Rfam family: Bacterial small subunit ribosomal RNA
Source: RNAcentral
UGAGGAAUAUUGGUCAAUGGGCGAGAGCCUGAACCAGCCAAGUAGCGUGCAGGAUGACGGCCCUAUGGGUUGUAAACUGCUUUUAUGUGGGGAUAAAGUGCGUGACGUGUCAUGCAUUGCAGGUACCACAUGAAUAAGGACCGGCUAAUUCCGUGCCAGCAGCCGCGGUAAUACGGAAGGUCCGGGCGUUAUCCGGAUUUAUUGGGUUUAAAGGGAGCGUAGGCUGUUUGUUAAGCGUGUUGUGAAAUGUAAGAGCUCAACUUUUAGAUUGCAGCGCGAACUGGCAGACUUGAGUGCGCACAACGUAGGCGGAAUUCAUGGUGUAGCGGUGAAAUGCAUAGAUAUCACACAGAACUCCGAUUGCGAAGGCAGCUUACCAGGCUUUAUCUGACACUUAGGCACGACAGCGUGGGGAUCAAACAGG